GAUUCAUGGAGGCAUGAAGGAUCCCAGCAAGAAAACACAGACUUGAUCUUGAGAUGAGAUUUUUGAAGUUGGCUGCGGCCUCAAGGCAGGCUCUGAGAAGACUCGAUAAAGAGUUCUCAGGAAUAGGCAUCCCUCCUGGAUAUUUCCCCCUUGGAAGCGCCGAGGAGCCAGUUAUAUGUUUGUAACCACAGCAUUUCUAAAGCUGCAGCCCCAGGAACCUGCUAUGAAUUAGAAACAGAUUCCACCCUAGACAUCAGUGACCUUGGCCUCUCGUAUUGGGAAGGUCAACACUGUUCCAGUUUCCCUCCUACUCCCAUCUGGUUGUGCUCGGUGAAGUAGGUGAGCAGUGCUACACUUCUGUUAAAAAAAAAAAAAAAAAAGAUCCUGAAAGAGGAAAGAAUUUUUGCUACACAUCUGAAAGCUGAAGUCCAGGUGAUGCCUUGAUUACCUAGCUUUGGCUUCUCUGAACUCUGCUUCUCUGGUAGAGGAAACCUGAAGAGAACUAGCAUUUCUAAAACCAUGGCCCAGUCGCACCCGGCCUCUGCUGGGAUUUUGACUGAGAUUAUGUUGAAUCU
This 575-nucleotide small RNA is filed under the name Pongo abelii (Sumatran orangutan). RNAcentral describes it as "processed transcript". The record is from RNAcentral. Lineage: Eukaryota; Metazoa; Chordata; Mammalia; Primates; Hominidae.